Molecule: ribosomal RNA, 497 nt
Filed under: uncultured bacterium
Lineage: Bacteria
Description: partial 16S ribosomal RNA
Rfam family: Bacterial small subunit ribosomal RNA
Source: RNAcentral
GAUGAACGCUGGCGGCGUGCCUAAUACAUGCAAGUCGAGCGAACAGACGAGGAGCUUGCUCCUCUGACGUUAGCGGCGGACGGGUGAGUAACACGUGGAUAACCUACCUAUAAGACUGGGAUAACUUCGGGAAACCGGAGCUAAUACCGGAUAAUAUAUUGAACCGCAUGGUUCAAUAGUGAAAGACGGUUUUGCUGUCACUUAUAGAUGGAUCCGCGCCGCAUUAGCUAGUUGGUAAGGUAACGGCUUACCAAGGCAACGAUGCGUAGCCGACCUGAGAGGGGGGUAGCCAACAGGGAAAGUGAGACAGGGUCAGAACACCAAGGGGAGGAGGAGGAGGGAAAUUUUCCGAAAGGGGCAAAAUAUAGAGGAGAAACGCCGGGGGGAGGAAGAAAGUUUUUGGAAUAGAAAAACUUUGUUAUGGGGGAAAAAAAAAGGGGAAAGUACUUAUGCACGUUUGGAGGGACCAAAAUAAAAAAGACAGGACAAAAUACGGC